AAAUAAUUUAUCACAAUAUCUGUCACCCCAUUGAUCACCAGGGUUGAUUCAGCUGAUCUAGCUGGCUAGGCAGGUGUUCCCUUCCUCCCUCUAUGUACGCCCCUCCCGAAGCUUUGGGCUCAGUCAAAGAGGAUGAUCACCUCUGAUAAAGGAGGACUGUUCUUCCGACAAAGGUAUAUGAGCAAUUGUGCUCCCUUGCUAGAACCUCCAAACAAGAUCUCAGAUUGUUUCUAUGAAGGAGCUAGCUUCACCACAGAUGUUUAACAAGAAUAUUAAAUUAGAAAAAAAAAUACAAUGGAGGAAUACACUUACCUUUUCUUUUC
RNAcentral lists this small nuclear RNA (323 nucleotides) under Chinchilla lanigera (long-tailed chinchilla). Its description in RNAcentral is "7SK RNA (ENSCLAG00000021700.1)". It matches the Rfam family "7SK RNA". Rfam says of the family: 7SK was discovered as an abundant small nuclear RNA in the mid-70s but a possible function has only recently been suggested. The record is from RNAcentral. Lineage: Eukaryota; Metazoa; Chordata; Mammalia; Rodentia; Chinchillidae.